Molecule: long non-coding RNA, 304 nt
Filed under: Elaeis guineensis (African oil palm)
Lineage: Eukaryota; Viridiplantae; Streptophyta; Magnoliopsida; Arecales; Arecaceae
Description: long non-coding RNA (EGUI_LNC001598)
Source: RNAcentral
AGAAUCACAAAAAUCACAGUGAUCAAACAUUAUUGAAGUCAACAUUAAGGAGAUGAAAGAUUGCUACUGUGAUAAUGCAGCAACCAAACAUCAUUAAGGUGGUUAUCACUGCUUGGCGCCAUGGGUAUGGUGAUUGUGACAACCAAACAAGGUUGAUGGGGAAAGUGUGAUGAUAUAAUGUUAUGGGUUUAUCGAAAUUCACCAAUCUGACUUUGCCAAUUUGAGCAUCAUCAUUAUAGAAUUUUCAAAAUUGGAAGAUCAAAUAAUCUUUUUGGAAAUGUGGUGAUCCUGGUGUCAUGGCAAG